CGCACGCACGCGCACAGGCAAACAGGCGCACAGGCACACGCACCUGCCAUUUUCACCAGUGAAGAGGACAAGUGAAAAGGUGGCAAAAAAGAUGUUUCACCCAGUCUGUUGGAGCAACUAAGGUGACCAUAUUCAGCUGUUUGACAGAGGGAGAGGCAAAGGACCUUGCCCAGAAGUUUGGAAUGAAACUUCUUUCCGGGAUCCCUGAAGAGAACAUACCAGCAACACUGAGGACCAUUUAACAAUUGAGGAGGAAUGUCCAAAACCUGAGCCCUGAAUCAAACUUUGAUUUGCCACUUUCUUUUCCUUUUUAGAGAACUGCCUAAAAUACAUCCUUUUCACAAUGUCACUUCACCUCUGUCUUUACAGUACGCGGUGUAUUUUUAGUUUGUUUACUUUAGAAUGAAUGGGAGACUUCUCUGGAAAAUUUACAACUGAAAAUAUUAACAUUGCACAUUGUAAUUUAAGACUAUUACAGUAUUUGGCAUUUGUUCAGAUGUUUCUCUUUCAAUACUGAACUGCUUUCUGAGUUAGAAAAUGAUUCUUUAAGUUAUUAAGAAUAGGAAAAAGCUAUUGUUUAUCAAGGAAAGUAUAUGUUUGCAACCUUUUCACUUAAGUUUAUUUUCUUAAUAAUGGAUUUAUUAUUAUUUAUUAAAUCUUCUCUUAUUGGUCUCGUUUCAGAAAGAAGGUUAAGUGAAAACUCGUGGUAACUUACUCUGGUAACCUAACCUGGUCAUGAGCAGGUUUAUUCUCUUAACUCGUAGUUUCUGUUGGUCUCCUCCCCUUUUUUUAAAAUGGCGCUGUAUUUCUCACCUUAGCCUUACGUUUCCACCCACCUAUUUUUAUACGCAUUUUCGAGAUGCACAUAAAAAAAAAAAAUCGGUUGAUGGAAACGCCAAGAUGCACAUAAAUUUUGAAAUGUUAUCUUUAACUGAUGAACGUAAAAGAGGGAACCUUAAAUUAAACAUUUCCACUGAACAUUAAACUAAGGUUAUAUGCAUUCUUGUUUUGUCAAAUUUGUUACAGAAUCUAUGCAGAAGCCUAUUUUUUUGUAAUUUAAUGCAAUUAAAUCUGUAAUAACUUAAAUUACAGGCAACUCCCCACUUUUUCACAUGAAAAGUCAAAAACGUCAUUUUUUGUUUAUUAUGUUUUCCCAUUGCUAACUGUCUCUGUUUCACUGAUACAGUGGUGUUGCUUUUUUUAAAUAUAUGCUCAUAUUUGUUAUAACUUUGCAUAAGCACAUCAAGUUCAGCUGGAGACAGAAAUCUCUUUUUUUUUUAGAUGUUGCCAUGGUCACUCGUAAUAUCUGCGCUCCACUGAUAAUGCCUUUUUAUAGUUGCAGUGUGCGCGCUUAACUUUGAGUAGGUCUACACAAAGUUGAUUGUGCUAAC
This is a long non-coding RNA of Danio aesculapii, 1391 nucleotides long. RefSeq lists it as uncharacterized. Lineage: Eukaryota; Metazoa; Chordata; Actinopteri; Cypriniformes; Danionidae. The record is from RefSeq and is a predicted model, not a curated record. The transcript has 3 exons.